AGAGUUUGAUCAUGGCUCAGGACGAACGCUGGCGGCGUGCUUAACACAUGCAAGUCGAGCGGAAAGGCCUCUUCGGGGGUACUCGAGCGGCGAACGGGUGAGUAACACGUGAGUAAUCUGCCCUUGGCUUUGGGAUAAGCCCCGGAAACGGGGUCUAAUACCGGAUACGACGCACUCCUGCAUGGGAUGUGUGUGGAAAGUUUUUUCGGCCAGGGAUGUGCUCGCGGCCUAUCAGCUUGUUGGUGGGGUAAUGGCCUACCAAGGCUUCGACGGGUAGCCGGCCUGAGAGGGUGACCGGCCACACUGGGACUGAGACACGGCCCAGACUCCUACGGGAGGCAGCAGUGGGGAAUAUUGGACAAUGGGCGGAAGCCUGAUCCAGCAACGCCGCGUGAGGGAUGACGGCCUUCGGGUUGUAAACCUCUUUCAGUACCGACGAAGCGCCGAUGAUGGUGGUGACGGUAGGUACAGAAGAAGCACCGGCCAACUACGUGCCAGUAGCCGCGGUAAUACGUAGGGUGCGAGCGUUGUCCGGAAUUAUUGGGCGUAAAGGGCUCGUAGGCGGUUUGUCGCGUCGGGAGUGAAAACACCGGGCUUAACUCGGUGCUUGCUUUCGAUACGGGCAGACUAGAGGCAUGCAGGGGGGAACGGAAUUCCUGGUGUAGCGGUGAAAUGCGCAGAUAUCAGGAGGAACACCGGUGGCGAAGGCGGUUCUCUGGGCAUGUCCUGACGCUGAGGAGCGAAAGUGUGGGGAGCGAACAGGAUUAGAUACCCUGGUAGUCCACACCGUAAACGUUGGGCGCUAGGUGUGGGAUCCAUUCC
This 822-nucleotide ribosomal RNA is filed under the name uncultured bacterium. Its description in RNAcentral is "bacterial SSU rRNA". It matches the Rfam family "Bacterial small subunit ribosomal RNA", at positions 8 to 835 of the family's 1533-position model. The record is from RNAcentral.